GUAGCGUAGCGUAGUGGUGCGGUGCCUGGAUGUGGAUCAGGUGGUCGUGGGAUCGAUUCCCCGCGGCGCCACA
This 73-nucleotide transfer RNA is filed under the name Hordeum vulgare. RNAcentral's name for it is "tRNA-OTHER". Lineage: Eukaryota; Viridiplantae; Streptophyta; Magnoliopsida; Poales; Poaceae. The record is from RNAcentral.